UACAGAGACUGCAAGCGUUAUUCGGAUUCACUGGGCGUAAAGGGUGCGCAGGCGGCCGUGUAUGUGAGGCGUGAAAGCCCGGGGCUUAACCCCGGAAUUGCACCUCAAACUACAUGGCUAGAGCAUUGGAGAGGGUAGCAGAAUUCAUGGUGUAGCAGUGAAAUGCGUAGAUAUCAUGAGGAAUACCAGAGGCGAAGGCGGCUACCUGGACAAUUGCUGACGCUCAGGCACGAAAGCGUGGGGAGCAAAAGGG
This 253-nucleotide ribosomal RNA is filed under the name uncultured bacterium. RNAcentral's name for it is "partial 16S ribosomal RNA". It matches the Rfam family "Bacterial small subunit ribosomal RNA", at positions 524 to 776 of the family's 1533-position model. The record is from RNAcentral.